UGAGCAUGCUUUCUCGUGGGGCAGUGAAUCUACUUACUUGUUGUGUAUAGGUGAAAGUUUUGGCUUUUGGUUGAAUAAACAUAGCAACUACUCCCUCCGUUCCAAAAUAGAUGACUCAACUUUAUACUAACUUUAGUAUAAAGUUGAGUCAUCUAUUUUGGAACGGAGGGAGUAGUUUUCAUGUUGUAGUCGCAAAAAAGAAAAGCAGGUUUCAUGUUUUGUAUGCUUUUUUGAAGUAACUGAGUGAAUGGAAAUAGUAGUUCCAGCUGAACUGCUCGUUUGCUUCAGUUCAUAAUAGUACGGCUAGUGUGUAACUUCCUUUCAGUGAAACUCCUUUCAUGAUGCUCGC
Molecule: long non-coding RNA, 349 nt
Filed under: Triticum aestivum (bread wheat)
Lineage: Eukaryota; Viridiplantae; Streptophyta; Magnoliopsida; Poales; Poaceae
Description: long non-coding RNA (TAES_LNC016760)
Source: RNAcentral